RNAcentral lists this ribosomal RNA (231 nucleotides) under uncultured Leptotrichia sp. RNAcentral describes it as "partial 16S ribosomal RNA". It matches the Rfam family "Bacterial small subunit ribosomal RNA", at positions 123 to 355 of the family's 1533-position model. Lineage: Bacteria; Fusobacteriati; Fusobacteriota; Fusobacteriia; Fusobacteriales; Leptotrichiaceae. The record is from RNAcentral.
GACUUGCCCUUUAGACUGGGAUAACAGAGGGAAACUUCUGAUAAUACUGGAUAAGUUAGUAUAUCGCAUGAUAUGCAAAUGAAAGCUACGGCACUAAAGGAGAGCUUUGCGUCCUAUUAGCUAGUUGGUAAGGUAAGAGCUUACCAAGGCGAUGAUAGGUAGCCGGCCUGAGAGGGUGGACGGCCACAAGGGGACUGAGAUACGGCCCUUACUCCUACGGGAGGCAGCAGC